CCUCUCUUCUGUUUCUUCCUAUUUAAAUCCCCUGAGACACAACGGUGGCGCAUCAGAUCAUCCACAAACCGCUCAACAAAAUCCCAAAUUCUAUCAAUAUCAACCACUUUGACCAAUCCUAAUUCAACAACAAUCAUGUCUCUUAUUCCAAGCUUUUUCGGUGGCCGCCGGAGCAACGUCUUCGAUCCCUUCUCCUUAGACCUUUGGGAUCCAUUUGAAGGCUUCCCAUUUCCAACCACACUCGCCAACCUCCCUUCCUCUGCUCUUGAGACCUCUGCCUUUGCCAAUACUCGCAUCGAUUGGAAAGAGACCCCCCAAGCCCACAUCUUCAAGGCCGAUCUUCCUGGUAUCAAGAAGGAAGAAGUCAAAGUAGAAGUGGAAGAAGGCAGAGUGUUGCAAAUCAGUGGAGAGAGGAGCAAAGAGCAGGAGGAGAAGAACGAAAAAUGGCACAGAAUUGAACGGAGCAGUGGGAAGUUCAUGAGGAGAUUCAGGCUGCCGGAGGAUGCUAAAGUGGAGGAGGUGAAGGCAAGCAUGGAGAAUGGAGUUCUGACUGUGACAGUGCCCAAAGUGGAAGUGAAGAAGCCGGAAAUCAAAUCCAUUGACAUCUCUGGCUAGACAAUUACUGUUCUUCCUUUUGCAUUUGUCCCUGUUCGAAUCAGUUUGUAUGAAUGGGUUUUAAAUAAAGUGUCAAAAUUGGGGUUUUAAUCUGGGUGUGUUCUGUAAUGUUUGUGAGUUUGGGAAGAUUAAGGAAAGUUGGGUUAUUAUAUGUUUAUGUAUGAUAUGUUACAAAGGUGAUGAAUAUAAUGAAGUUGUGAGUUUUGUUUAAUUAUAAAGUUUUGAAAUGGGUCAAGUUUAAUGAGGAG
Molecule: unclassified non-coding RNA, 863 nt
Filed under: Hevea brasiliensis (rubber tree)
Lineage: Eukaryota; Viridiplantae; Streptophyta; Magnoliopsida; Malpighiales; Euphorbiaceae
Source: RNAcentral